UAGGGAAUCUUCCGCAAUGGGCGAAAGCCUGACGGAGCAACGCCGCGUGAGUGAUGAAGGUCUUCGGAUCGUAAAACUCUGUUAUUAGGGAAGAACAAAUGUGUAAGUAACUAUGCACUUCUUGACGGUACCUAAUCAGAAAGCCACGGCUAACUACGUGCCAGCAGCCGCGGUAAUACGUAGGUUGCAGGCGUUAUCCGGAAUUAUUGGGCGUAAAGCGCGCGUAGGCGGUUUUUUAAGUCUGAUGUGAAAGCCCACGGCUCAACCGUUGAGGGUCAUUGGAAACUGGAAAACUUGAGUGCAGAAGAGGAAAGUGGAAUUCCAUGUGUAGCGGUGAAAUGCGCAGAGAUAUGGAGGAACACCAGUGGCGAAGGCGACUGUCUGGUCUGUAACUGACGCUGAUGUGCGAAAGCGUGGGGAUCAAACAGG
This 429-nucleotide ribosomal RNA is filed under the name Actinomycetes bacterium. RNAcentral's name for it is "Actinobacteria bacterium partial 16S ribosomal RNA". It matches the Rfam family "Bacterial small subunit ribosomal RNA", at positions 355 to 776 of the family's 1533-position model. The record is from RNAcentral. Lineage: Bacteria; Bacillati; Actinomycetota; Actinomycetes.